CGAGGUGGCCUGGAAUUAAAUAUAUAAUUAUCUUCCUGUAAUCAACUCAUUACAUUAAUUUUCUUGCAAAAUUGGUCUAGAUGACUUCUUUCCUUUCUCGUCCUUUAGAGAAAUUAAAAGCCACAGAGAUUGUCUUAUGAAGACAAGCAUUUCUGGUACCUAGAGACAAAAGUCUGAUGAGUGCUAUGAAAAACCCUGUGGUGUCAUCACAGACCUAAACAAAUGAGGUGCAGUGUCACAGCCUGAGAGCUGUUUAAGGUAGGUUUAUGGUUCCCAAUCCUUCCGUCAUAGAAGGAAAAUAAGCAGAGUGUAUUACUGGAUGCAGUUAUAUUCCCUGCCUUCUUCCCAGGGCUGUUGCUGCCUCUUCAAAAUUGGGUUCUGGAAGCCCAGUAUGGAGAGCCCAGAGAAGUUCUGUGGUUUGCUCACUUGUUCUCUGCUCUUCUGUGGUCACAAAACCAAUGCUUCUGCUCGGCUGGCAGCUCAGGAAAUCCUCCCUUCUGCAGGGUUGUUUCUCUUUGUACACAGAUGAUGACGUUUUUAUUUCUGGAUCACUUCCCAUUUGCCCAUUUCUGGGAACAAUUGAAUCCUGGAAUAAAUGGUUGCUUGUUUAUUAUAUAUUUGCAAGAAACUGAAGAUAAAUGAGAACCAUGAACUUAAGCCUCACCCUGUGACAUGAAGAAAGCAGCUCCAGUUCACAUCUAGUUCCACGACUGUCUUCUAUGAGCUGGAAGAUUUUGCUUCCCUCUCAAGAGGGAGGAGCAGCCAGCCUGCCUUCUCACUGUCAGGAAAACAGACAUUCCUCUUCCCUUCUCCACCUUCAGGUGUCACUAAAGGAGCUUUGCUGUUUUCUGAGACUUGGUCAACCUUCCUUUCUGUUCAUGUAACCUCUUUGCAUAACAGUAUUCACUCUCCCAGGGCUCAGCUGUAAAUGUACCAGGCCUAGAACACAGGACACAUUUCUGGCAUAGAACGAGAUACUAAAACUUAUAUCUGAUUACCUUAGACAUUAAAUUACUGAAGCUCUUUGCAGUGUUGCAUAAGGAAUUAAUUGCACAUACACGCAUUCACUUGCUAUGAAAUAAACAGACCAGACAUUUUCCCCAUGAGGAAAAGCUGUCACAUCCAUAUUGAACAGGACUUGGAUACUGCAGGCAACACCUCUCUGAACCUGCCCAAACCCUGAACUGCCCUUUAGCUAGGUAGCCCUGCAGACACACACAGGGAUCCUCUACCAGAGCUGGCAGAUGGCAGAGGCCAUAUCCAAAAGAAGCCUGGAGGGAACAGCACAAAGGAUGUGGCAGCAUUAACAAUACACUGAAUAACCAACAGGGAGAGAAAGAAAAGAAGAAAAAAGCCAUUCCCAAACUGAUAUAGAUCUUUAAUUUAAAACUGAGUAAGUUUAUUCAUUGGGAAAGUGCAACAAAAUACCCCAAGGAUAGUGCAUUCCACUCCAACAAUUAAAAUCAUGUAAAAAACGAGAUAGGAAGGUCUGAGCCUUAAAGAGAACUGGUACAAAAGCUGGUGCUUUUCUUUGUUUCUAUAUAUUUAUCUUUGGGUGGCAGAGAUGGUCACUGAUUAAUUUUUUCGGUACUUUUCAACUUCAUUUCUUCUAAUGCAAGUCAUUCUGUUCCUUAACAGAUGCUGUCUUGGGACUGGAGGACCAUAAUCUGCAGGUACUUAAGAGGGGACAGUUUUUAAGAAUGGGGAUAUAGGGUUCAGUCACAUACUCCCAUCUAGGAGCUACUAGCCAUUCUAAGUAGACAUUGCCCCCAGCUGUUUCCCUCUAAAAUCUUAGGUAUGCAAAAAAAGUCAUUCUACUCAUAAGAGCAGUUUCUGACACAGCUGAGGAGGUAUAAGCAGGCAAGAGGAGAGCACAGGACUAUAGCAAGCUUAUAGUAGGUGCUGCUUGAGGGAGCUGCUAGUUUCCAAUCACUGAACCAAUUUUUGUGGUAGAGGUUAGCUUAGCCCUCUUGGAAAUGCUGCAGGUAGGUCUCACACCCGUAGUGGCCUAUUCUCACUCAUGCUACUGCACUUCAGCUGAGCAGCACAAGCCCAGUAGGAUUCUUUAAUCCUUCGCAAUUACGUAUCUUUUGCUAGCACUUUCUGCCCAAUGAUUUCAAAAUACUUUAUAAGCAUCACUGUACCAAGCUUAAAAUUCUUUGACACACAAAUAUUUUAAAUGGAACA
Long non-coding RNA from Pezoporus occidentalis (night parrot), 2187 nucleotides. RefSeq lists it as uncharacterized. The record is from RefSeq and is a predicted model, not a curated record. NCBI's taxonomy places the organism in Eukaryota, Metazoa, Chordata, Aves, Psittaciformes, Psittacidae. The transcript is spliced from 2 exons.